GGGUGAGUAACACGUGAGUAACCUGCCCUCCACUCUGGGAUAAGCGCUGGAAACGGCGUCUAAUACCGGAUAUGAAUCUCCACCGCAUGGUGGGGGUUGGAAAGAAUUUCGGUGGGGGAUGGACUCGCGGCCUAUCAGCUUGUUGGUGAGGUAAUGGCUCACCAAGGCGACGACGGGUAGCCGGCCUGAGAGGGUGACCGGCCACACUGGGACUGAGACACGGCCCAGACUCCUACGGGAGGCAGCAGUGGGGAAUAUUGCACAAUGGGCGCAAGCCUGAUGCAGCAACGCCGCGUGAGGGAUGACGGCCUUCGGGUUGUAAACCUCUUUUAGUAGGGAAGAAGCGAAAGUGACGGUACCUGCAGAAAAAGCACCGGCUAACUACGUGCCAGCAGCCGCGGUAAUACGUAGGGUGCAAGCGUUGUCCGGAAUUAUUGGGCGUAAAGAGCUCGUAGGCGGUUUGUCGCGUCUGCUGUGAAAUCCCGAGGCUCAACCUCGGGCCUGCAGUGGGUACGGGCAGACUAGAGUGCGGUAGGGGAGAUUGGAAUUCCUGGUGUAGCGGUGGAAUGCGCAGAUAUCAGGAGGAACACCGAUGGCGAAGGCAGAUCUCUGGGCCGUAACUGACGCUGAGGAGCGAAAGGGUGGGGAGCAAACAGGCUUAGAUACCCUGGUAGUCCACCCCGUAAACGUUGGGAACUAGAUGUAGGGUCCAUUCCACGG
Molecule: ribosomal RNA, 720 nt
Filed under: Mycetocola sp.
Lineage: Bacteria; Bacillati; Actinomycetota; Actinomycetes; Micrococcales; Microbacteriaceae
Description: bacterial SSU rRNA
Rfam family: Bacterial small subunit ribosomal RNA
Source: RNAcentral